AGAGGGUGCGAACGUUGCUCGGAUUUACUGGGGCGUAAAGCGCGUGUAGGCGGACUCGCAAGUCGGUUGUGAAAUCCCUGGGGCUCAACCUAGGGAACUGCAUCCGAAACUGCCUGUCUUGAGUAAUGGAGAGGGUGGCGGAAUUCCCGGUGUAGAGGUGAAAUUCGUAGAUAUCGGGAGGAACAUCAGUGGCGAAGGCGGCCACCUGGACAUUUACUGACGCUGAGACGCGAAAGCGUGGGGAGCAAACAGGAUUAGAUACCCUGGUAGUCCACGCCGUAAACGAUGAGCACUAGGUGCAGCGGAUAUUGACCUCUGCUGUGCCGCAGCUAACGCGUUAAGUGCUCCGCCUGGGGAGUACGGCCGCAAGGCUA
RNAcentral lists this ribosomal RNA (374 nucleotides) under uncultured organism. RNAcentral describes it as "partial 16S ribosomal RNA". It matches the Rfam family "Bacterial small subunit ribosomal RNA", at positions 527 to 896 of the family's 1533-position model. The record is from RNAcentral.